UAGAAGUUGGAUGGGUGUCACUCU
This 24-nucleotide non-coding RNA is filed under the name Rattus norvegicus (Norway rat). The record is from RNAcentral. Lineage: Eukaryota; Metazoa; Chordata; Mammalia; Rodentia; Muridae.